This 73-nucleotide transfer RNA is filed under the name Eubacterium sp. CAG:841. It matches the Rfam family "tRNA". From Rfam's summary of the family: Transfer RNA (tRNA) molecules are approximately 80 nucleotides in length. Their secondary structure includes four short double-helical elements and three loops (D, anti-codon, and T loops). The record is from Rfam by way of RNAcentral. RNAcentral also lists the same sequence under 1 other name. Lineage: Bacteria; Bacillati; Bacillota; Clostridia; Eubacteriales; Eubacteriaceae.
GCGCCCAUAGCUCAGCGGAUAGAGUGCCCGGCUACGAACCGGUAGGUCGAGGGUUCGAAUCCCCCUGGGCGCG